ACUUUUUCCAUUUUUCAUAAAUGGGCCAAAAACAGCAAAAAUAUAAGGCUAUAGGCUUAACUUUUCAUCCAUUUUUAGCGACUUUUUCCAUUUUUCAUAAGUGGCCAAAAAAACACCAAAAAAGUAAGGCUAUAGGCUUAACUUUUCAUCCAUUUUUAGCGACUUUUUCCAUUUUUCAUAAGUGGGCAAAAAACAGCAAAAUUCAUUUUUUUAAUAAACAGGCAAAAAACAGCAAAAAAGUAAGGCUAUAGGCUUAACUUUUCG
Non-coding RNA from Paramuricea clavata, 264 nucleotides. The record is from the annotation of a GenBank genome assembly. Lineage: Eukaryota; Metazoa; Cnidaria; Anthozoa; Malacalcyonacea; Plexauridae.